This 159-nucleotide ribosomal RNA is filed under the name Homaliodendron crassinervium. RNAcentral describes it as "5.8S ribosomal RNA". It matches the Rfam family "5.8S ribosomal RNA". From Rfam's summary of the family: 5.8S ribosomal RNA (5.8S rRNA) is a component of the large subunit of the eukaryotic ribosome. It is transcribed by RNA polymerase I as part of the 45S precursor that also contains 18S and 28S rRNA. Functionally, it is thought that 5.8S rRNA may be involved in ribosome translocation. The record is from RNAcentral. Lineage: Eukaryota; Viridiplantae; Streptophyta; Bryopsida; Hypnales; Neckeraceae.
AAACAACUCUCAGCAACGGAUAUCUUGGCUCUUGCAACGAUGAAGAACGCAGCGAAAUGCGAUACGUACGUAGUGUGAAUUGCAGAAUUCCGCGAAUCAUCGAGUCUUUGAACGCAAGUUGCGCCCGAGGUCCAAGGGCAUUUCCGCUAGAGCGUCACC